This 478-nucleotide ribosomal RNA is filed under the name uncultured bacterium. Its description in RNAcentral is "partial 16S ribosomal RNA". It matches the Rfam family "Bacterial small subunit ribosomal RNA", at positions 28 to 507 of the family's 1533-position model. The record is from RNAcentral.
GAUGAACGCUGGCGGCGUGCCUAACACAUGCAAGUCGAACGGAGUCCAGCCUUUAAGACCUUCGGGUCAAAGAGGGGAAGACUGAGUGGCGGACGGGUGAGUAACACGUGGGCAACCUGGCUCAUAGAGGGGGAUAACAGAGAGAAAUUUCUGCUAAUACCGCAUAAGCACACACUGCCGCAUGGCAGAGGGUGAAAAGAGAAUCGCUAUGAGAUGGACCCGCGUCUGAUUAGCCAGUUGGCAGGGUAAGAGCCUACCAAAGCGACGAUCAGUAGCCGAUCUGAGAGGAGGAACGGCCACAUUGGGACUGAGACACGGCCCAAACUCCUACGGGAAGCAGCAGUGGGGGAUAUUGCACAAUGGGGGGAACCCUGAUGCAGCGACGCCGCGUGAGUGAAGAAGUAUUUCGGUAUGUAAAGCUCUAUCAGCAGGGAAGAUAAUGACAGUACCUGAAUAAGAAGCCCCGGCUAACUACGUG